UACAGAGGUCUCAAGCGUUGUUCGGAUUCAUUGGGCGUAAAGGGUGCGUAGGCGGCGCGGUAAGUCGGGUGUGAAAUCUCGGAGCUUAACUCCGAAACUGCAUUCGACACUGCCGUGCUUGAGGACUGGAGAGGAGACUGGAAUUUACGGUGUAGCGGUGAAAUGCGUAGAUAUCGUAAGGAAGACCAGUGGCGAAGGCGGGUCUCUGGACAGUUCCUGACGCUGAGGCACGAAGGCCAGGGGAGCAAACGGG
This 253-nucleotide ribosomal RNA is filed under the name uncultured bacterium. RNAcentral describes it as "partial 16S ribosomal RNA". It matches the Rfam family "Bacterial small subunit ribosomal RNA", at positions 524 to 776 of the family's 1533-position model. The record is from RNAcentral.